This 253-nucleotide ribosomal RNA is filed under the name uncultured bacterium. RNAcentral's name for it is "partial 16S ribosomal RNA". It matches the Rfam family "Bacterial small subunit ribosomal RNA", at positions 524 to 776 of the family's 1533-position model. The record is from RNAcentral.
GACGAACCGAGCGAACGUUGUUCGGAAUCACUGGGCUUAAAGGGCGCGUAGGCGGGCUGUCAAGUCUGGGGUGAAAUCCCGCGGCUCAACCGUGGAACUGCCUCAGAUACUGACGGCCUCGAGGGGGAUAGGGGCGAGCGGAACGGAUGGUGGAGCGGUGAAAUGCGUUGAUAUCAUCCGGAACUCCGGUGGCGAAGGCGGCUCGCUGGAUCUCUUCUGACGCUGAGGCGCGAAAGCUAGGGGAGCAAACAGG